This 165-nucleotide ribosomal RNA is filed under the name Autranella congolensis. RNAcentral's name for it is "5.8S ribosomal RNA". It matches the Rfam family "5.8S ribosomal RNA". Rfam says of the family: 5.8S ribosomal RNA (5.8S rRNA) is a component of the large subunit of the eukaryotic ribosome. It is transcribed by RNA polymerase I as part of the 45S precursor that also contains 18S and 28S rRNA. Functionally, it is thought that 5.8S rRNA may be involved in ribosome translocation. The record is from RNAcentral. Lineage: Eukaryota; Viridiplantae; Streptophyta; Magnoliopsida; Ericales; Sapotaceae.
AUAACGACUCUCGGCAACGGAUAUCUCGGCUCUCGCAUCGAUGAAGAACGUAGCGAAAUGCGAUACUUGGUGUGAAUUGCAGAAUCCCGUGAACCAUCAAGUCUUUGAACGCAAGUUGCGCCCGAGGCCAUUAGGUCGAGGGCACGCCUGCCUGGGCGUCUCGCA